CCCUUAGACGUUCUGGGCCGCACGCGCGCUACACUGACGAAUGCAACGAGCUUAUAACCUUGGCCGAAAGGUCUGGGUAAUCUCCAAAUUUCGUCGUGAUGGGGAUAGAUUAUUGCAAUUAUUAAUCUUCAACGAGGAAUGCCUAGUAAGCGCAAGUCAUCAGCUUGCGUUGAUUACGUCCCUGCCCUUUGUACACACCGCCCGUCGCUCCUACCGAUUGAAUGGUCCGGUGAAGCGCUCGGACCGCGGCCUCUUGACGGUUUUCCGUCGAUUGGCUGUGGGAAGUUCGUUAAACCUUAUCAUUUAGAGGAAGGAGAANUCGUANCA
RNAcentral lists this ribosomal RNA (327 nucleotides) under uncultured eukaryote. RNAcentral describes it as "partial 18S ribosomal RNA". It matches the Rfam family "Eukaryotic small subunit ribosomal RNA", at positions 1470 to 1796 of the family's 1831-position model. The record is from RNAcentral.